GACGAACGCUGGCGGCGUGCUUAACACAUGCAAGUCGAGCGGUAAGGCCCUUCGGGGUACACGAGCGGCGAACGGGUGAGUAACACGUGGGUGAUCUGCCUCGUACUUCGGGAUAAGCCUGGGAAACUGGGUCUAAUACCGGAUAUGACCGCAUGCUGCAUGGUGUGUGGUGGAAAGAUUUAUCGGUGCGAGAUGGGCCCGCGGCCUAUCAGCUUGUUGGUGGGGUAAUGGCCUACCAAGGCGACGACGGGUAGCCGACCUGAGAGGGUGACCGGCCACACUGGGACUGAGACACGGCCCAGACUCCUACGGGAGGCAGCAGUGGGGAAUAUUGCACAAUGGGCGGAAGCCUGAUGCAGCGACGCCGCGUGAGGGAUGACGGCCUUCGGGUUGUAAACCUCUUUCGACAGGGACGAAGCGGAAGUGACGGUACCUGUAGAAGAAGCACCGGCCAACUACGUG
This 462-nucleotide ribosomal RNA is filed under the name Nocardia takedensis. Its description in RNAcentral is "bacterial SSU rRNA". It matches the Rfam family "Bacterial small subunit ribosomal RNA", at positions 28 to 507 of the family's 1533-position model. Lineage: Bacteria; Bacillati; Actinomycetota; Actinomycetes; Mycobacteriales; Nocardiaceae. The record is from RNAcentral.